This 870-nucleotide ribosomal RNA is filed under the name uncultured bacterium. Its description in RNAcentral is "bacterial SSU rRNA". It matches the Rfam family "Bacterial small subunit ribosomal RNA", at positions 10 to 913 of the family's 1533-position model. The record is from RNAcentral.
AGUUUGAUCCUGGCUCAGGACGAACGCUGGCGGCGUGCCUAAUGCAUGCAAGUCGCACGCACUCGCUUCGGCGGGUGAGUGGCGCACGGCUGAGUAACACGUGGGAACCCGCCCCCCGGUGGGGGAUAACGCGACGAAAGUCGCGCUAAUCCCGCAUACGUCCGCAGGGGGAAAGCGCUUCGGCGCGCCGGGGGAGGGGCCUGCGGCCCAUCAGGUCGUUGGUGGGGUAACGGCCUACCAAGCCGAUGACGGGUAGCUGGUCUGGGAGGAUGACCAGCCAGACUGGGACUGAGACACGGCCCAGACUCCUACGGGAGGCAGCAGCAAGGAAUUUUCGGCAAUGGGCGCAAGCCUGACAGAGCAACGCCGCGUGCGGGAUGACGGCCUUCGGGUUGUAAACCGCUUUUCGGGGGGACGAUGAUGACGGUACCCCCGGAACAAGCCCCGGCUAACUCUGUGCCAGCAGCCGCGGUAAGACAGAGGGGGCGAGCGUUGUCCGGAGUCACUGGGCGUAAAGCGCGCGCAGGCGGUCGCCAAAGUGUCGUGUGAAAGCCCCCGGCUCAACCGGGGGAGGCCAUGGCAAACUCGGCGACUGGAGCGGCGGAGAGGCCCCUCGAAUUGCCGGUGUAGCGGUGAAAUGCGUAGAGAUCGGCAGGAAGACCAAGGGGGAAGCCAGGGGGCUGGCCGCUGGCUGACGCUGAGGCGCGACAGCGUAGGGAGCGAACCGGAUUAGAUACCCGGGUAGUCCACGCCGUAAACAAUGACCACUCGGCGUGCGGCGACUAUUGACGUCGCGGUGCGCCUUAGCUCACGCGCUAAGUGGUCCGCCUGGGAACUACGAGCGCAAGCUUAAAACUCAAAGGAAAUUGA